UCAAGUAGUGCCCAGUAUUUUUCUACAUUUUCUAGUCAACUUUGGCGAGAAACUUCAGAAUUUCCUAAAUUUCAAAGGUAUCGAAACUAAAAGUUUCGCUAAAUUAUUCAGUCAUGAUUGCUUGCUUUAUUCCCUAUCCUUUCCUUCUACUCAUGUUGUGUGCUGGCGCCGCAUUCUAUUUUUGUGCCUUGUGAGGAAAAUUUUGAAAAAACCUAAAUAUAAUGGGCCCGUUCAUCGUAUUCAUGUGCUGCACCACGGUGCUUACUCUUGGGUGCUUUUUCCUCCUACAAAAAAGAGGCUUCGGAUGUCAUUGUACUUGAAGAGCUCGGAGACAUAGGUUUGGUUGAUUCUAGACUCAAACAUGUAUCAAUUUGAUUUGGAGGACUGUAAAUUAGUGACAGCACAAAUAUAUAGUUUGUUCUAAAA
Long non-coding RNA from Coccinella septempunctata (seven-spotted ladybird), 426 nucleotides. RefSeq lists it as uncharacterized. The transcript is spliced from 2 exons. Lineage: Eukaryota; Metazoa; Arthropoda; Insecta; Coleoptera; Coccinellidae. The record is from RefSeq and is a predicted model, not a curated record.